RNAcentral lists this ribosomal RNA (177 nucleotides) under Salmonella enterica subsp. enterica serovar Newport. RNAcentral's name for it is "partial 16S ribosomal RNA". It matches the Rfam family "Bacterial small subunit ribosomal RNA", at positions 462 to 638 of the family's 1533-position model. Lineage: Bacteria; Pseudomonadati; Pseudomonadota; Gammaproteobacteria; Enterobacterales; Enterobacteriaceae. The record is from RNAcentral.
ACAGCAAUUGACGUUACCCGCAGAAGAAGCACCGGCUAACUCCGUGCCAGCAGCCGCGGUAAUACGGAGGGUGCAAGCGUUAAUCGGAAUUACUGGGCGUAAAGCGCACGCAGGCGGUCUGUCAAGUCGGAUGUGAAAUCCCCGGGCUCAACCUGGGAACUGCAUUCGAAACUGGCA